GAUGAACGCUAGCGGGAGGCCUAACACAUGCAAGCCGAGCGGGAUUUGUUGGUUAGCUUGCUAACUAACAAUGAGAGCGGCGUACGGGUGCGUAGCACGUGUGCAACCUGCCUUUAUCUUGGGGAUAGCCUUUCGAAAGGAAGAUUAAUACCCCAUAACAUAUUGAUUUGCAUCAGUUAAUAUUGAAAGCUCCGGCGGAUAGAGAUGGGCACGCGUAAGAUUAGCUAGUUGGUGAGGUAACGGCUCACCAAGGCUGCGAUCUUUAGGGGGCCUGAGAGGGUGAUCCCACACACUGGUACUGAGACACGGAACAGACUCAUACGGGAGGCAGCAGUGAGGAAUAUUGGACAAUGGGUGAGAGCCUGAUCCAGCCAUCCCGCGUGAAGGAAUAAGGACCUAUGGUUUGUAAACUUCUUUUAUACAGGGAUAAACCUACUCUCGUGAGGGUAGCUGAAGGUACUGUAUGAAUAAGCACCGGCUAACUCCGUG
This 489-nucleotide ribosomal RNA is filed under the name uncultured bacterium. Its description in RNAcentral is "partial 16S ribosomal RNA". It matches the Rfam family "Bacterial small subunit ribosomal RNA", at positions 28 to 507 of the family's 1533-position model. The record is from RNAcentral.